GAUGAAGAACGUAGCGUAAUGCGAUAAGUAAUGUGAAUUGCAGAAUUCAGUGAAUCAUCGAAUCUUUGAACGCACAUUGCGCCCGUCAGUAUUCUGGCGGGCAUGCCUGUUCGAGCGUCAUUACGCCCCUCAAGUCCCCUGUGGACUUGGUGUUGGGGAUCGGCGAGGCUGGUUUUCCAGCACAGCCGUCCCUUAAAUUAAUUGGCGGUCUCGCCGUGGCCCUCCUCUGCGCAGUAGUAAAACACUCGCAACAGGAGCCCGGCGCGGUCCACUGCCGUAAAACCCCCCAACUUUUUAUAGUUGACCUCGAAUCAGGUAGGACUACCCGCUGAACUUAAGCAUAUCAAUAAGCGGAGGA
RNAcentral lists this unclassified non-coding RNA (358 nucleotides) under soil metagenome. RNAcentral's name for it is "partial contains 5.8S ribosomal RNA, internal transcribed spacer 2, and large subunit ribosomal RNA". The stretch from base 1 to 120 matches the Rfam family "5.8S ribosomal RNA", at positions 35 to 154 of the family's 154-position model. The record is from RNAcentral.